Molecule: non-coding RNA, 2254 nt
Organism: Caretta caretta (loggerhead turtle)
Lineage: Eukaryota; Metazoa; Chordata; Testudines; Cheloniidae
Source: RefSeq, a predicted model, not a curated record
GGGGCCGGCCCCACUCCGCCCCAGCGCGGGCUGCUUCCCACCACGUCCCUGCACAUGUGAUUGCCGGAAAAGUAGUGCUCAAGCAGCUAGCAUCACAGGAGAUGCUCCAGCUUUUUGAAGCUUUCUGCCACCGUCACAGCCUUCCCCUCUUCUAGAAUCAAACCUACGUGUUUCUGCCAGGAAGUUCUCGAAAUUCCUCACUUUCUCACUCCAUAUCUUUCAGACAGAUGGCAAAGCGAGGCCCAAUUGACAUAUUUAUCAAGCAGAGACAUCUGGUUGCUGAACACGCAAUUCUGAAUCAGAUGACGCCAAUGUAAAUGAAACCGAAGUAUUGUCAACAAAAAGAAUUCAUACUAGCUUUACUCAGAAAUAGACGCCUCAUACAUUCAGUUCAGUUUUGUAGCCACAAAUGAUGAUGGACUGCCAAAACCGCAGUGUGUUAUUUGUGGUGAUGUGUUGGCUAACGACGCAAUGAAGCCGUCAAAGCUCAAGAGGCAUUUAAAUACAAAACAAUGAAAUUAGUUCAAAGCCGAAAGAGUUCUUCAAAAGAAAGCAUGUUGAUUUAAAAGGCCAUCAGAAACAGAUCUUUGAAGUGUCACACAUAAAUACUUGUGCUUUGCGAGCUUCUUAUAAAGUAGCGCUUUGCGUUGCUAAGGCUAAAAAGCCAUACACAACUGGUGAGACACUAGCGAUAGGUGGUAUUAAAGAUGUUUGCAUGGAAAUGGUGGGCGAGCUGGUGGCAAAGAAAGUGGUUCAGGUGCCACUUUCAAAUGACACUAUAGCUCGACGAAUUCACGAUCUGGCUGACUAUCUGGAAGAUCAGCUCAUAGGCUAGAUUAAAUUAGCAAAGUACUUUUCUUUGCAGCUUGAUGAAUGUACAGAUGUUGCUAAUACAGCAAUUCUGAUGGUGUACGUGCGCUUUGAACAUGAGGGUGAUUUGAAGGAAGAGUUUUUGUUUUCUGCUUCACUACCAACAAAAACAACUAGUUCUGAAGUGUUCAAGAGUGUGAGCGACUACAUCGUUAACAAACGUGGGUUGGAUUUCAAGUUUUGUGUAGGCGUAUGUUCUGAUGGCGCUGCCGUGAUGACAGGACGGCAUUCUGGAGUCGUUACCCAGAUUAAGGCACUUGCACCCGAAUGCACGUCGACACACUGCUUCCUUCACCGAGAAAGUCUUGCAACAAAAAAAAACACGUCAACAGAACUAAACAGUGUGCUCAGCGAGGUCAUAAAAAUUGUGAACCAUGUAAAGGCGAAUGCUUUAAAUUCAAGACUAUUCGCUGCAUUAUGUGAUGAUAUGGGAGCUGAUCAUAAACAGCUCCUAUUGCAUGCCGAUGUACGUUGGUUAUCGAGGGGAAAAGUCCUGUCAAGAGUAUUUGAGCUCCGAAACGAGCUUGCCGAGUUUCUUCAUGACAAAAACCAAUUGGUCACAAUUGUUCCGAGAUGUGGACUGGAUAGCCUAGUUGGCUUAUUUGGCUGAUAUCUUUGCCAUCUUUAACAAUCUCCAUGCAGGGAAGGAUGGCUUCAUGUCUUACAAUGGCAGACAAGAUCGACAGACAGAAACGAAAGCUAAAAGCAUGGAAGAGUCGAGUGUCAAGAGAUCGUUAUGACAUGUUUCACAACUUAGCGACAAUCAUCGCCGAUGCAGGUGAAGACCUUGAUGUUACAUCUCUACGAAAUAUCAUCAGUGAACACGACAAAUUUGGCAGAAUAUUUUGAGUUUUACUUUCCAGCAGAAGAAGAUCCAUGGAAGACUGGAUGGAUCUGAAAUCCGUUUAUUCCACUGAAAGAUGACUUAACGGUCACUAUGGAGGAUAAAUUGUUGGAGCUGGCUGCUGGCUAAAGAUUGAAGAUGAGUUUCGAAACUACAACAUCACUUGCUUCCUUUUGGAUAAAAGUGAAAGCAGAAUAUCCUGAGCUUACUGAAAUUGCUCUGAAAACUCUUCUCCCAUUUCCUUCAACGUACCUCUGCGAGACUGGCUUCUCAACCAUGAGUGUUAUUAAGACAAAGUACAGGAAUAGUAUGGAUAGUCAUUCUCCAUUGCAUGUGGCAAUGUCCUCAGUUGAACCACGACUGGAUAAACUGACAAAGAAGCAGGCUCACCUUUCACAUUAGUAAAGGCUAAGGUUUUAACAUGCUUAUUAUUAUGUUAAUACAUUUUUUUAUAAUAUCUUUAUUAGGAGACUUUGCUGGUUUGAUUUUUAAAUAUUUUUAUUUGUAUUGUAAUAUUGUAUUAUUUGUUUACAAAAUAAA